This 253-nucleotide ribosomal RNA is filed under the name uncultured bacterium. RNAcentral describes it as "partial 16S ribosomal RNA". It matches the Rfam family "Bacterial small subunit ribosomal RNA", at positions 524 to 776 of the family's 1533-position model. The record is from RNAcentral.
GACAGAGGGUGCAAACGUUGUUCGGAAUUACUGGGCGUAAAGCGUGUGUAGGCGGCCACGUAAGUCGGAUGUGAAAGCCCCGGGCUUAACCCGGGAAGUGCAUUCGAUACUGCGUGGCUUGAGUAUCGGAGAGGUUGGUGGAAUUCUCGGUGUAGAGGUGAAAUUCGUAGAUAUCGAGAGGAACACCGGUGGCGAAGGCGGCCAACUGGACGAAUACUGACGCUGAGACACGAAAGCGUGGGGAGCAAACAGG